Molecule: long non-coding RNA, 334 nt
Filed under: Mytilus galloprovincialis (Mediterranean mussel)
Lineage: Eukaryota; Metazoa; Mollusca; Bivalvia; Mytilida; Mytilidae
Source: RNAcentral
CAACACAUUAAUUAUUGAAUGCGCGUAGCGCAUGAGUUAAUUAUCAGUGUUGUUCGGUCACGAGUUGAAUAUUUUUCGAUUUUUGAAUUCUUUGAUUAGUUAUUCUUUUUAUUACAUUGGCAAAUGGCUUUUUUAAAAGAAAUUAAUGUAAAACAUGUAAGGAACUAUAUCUCUUUUCUACGCAUUCACAAGUUGUUUUGAUCCGUCGUUAUCGACGUCUUGACAACGCCUAUUGUUGUGUGACGUCAGAGAGUGAAAUAACCACGUUUAUUUCACAGUUAUGUGAAAUUAUCGGUUUUUAUUUAACUGGGAAAUCAAUGUAAUUCAUUGCAAC